Molecule: ribosomal RNA, 440 nt
Filed under: uncultured bacterium
Lineage: Bacteria
Description: partial 16S ribosomal RNA
Rfam family: Bacterial small subunit ribosomal RNA
Source: RNAcentral
CCUACAGGUGGCAGCAGUAGGGAAUAUUGCUCAAUGGGGGAAACCCUGAAGCAGCAACGCCGCGUGGAGGAUGAAGGUUUUAGGAUUGUAAACUCCUUUUGUUAGAGAAGAUUAUGACGGUAUCUAACGAAUAAGCACCGGCUAACUCCGUGCCAGCAGCCGCGGUAAUACGGAGGGUGCAAGCGUUACUCGGAAUCACUGGGCGUAAAGCGUGCGUAGGCGGGGUAAUAAGUCAGAUGUGAAAUCCUGUAGCUUAACUACAGAACUGCAUUUGAAACUGUUACUCUGGAGUGUGGGAGAGGUAGGUGGAAUUCUUGGUGUAGGGGUAAAAUCCGUAGAGAUCAAGAGGAAUACUCAUUGCGAAGGCGACCUGCUGGAACAUUACUGACGCUGAUGCACGAAAGCGUGGGGAGCAAACAGGAUUAGAUACCCCGGUAGUC